GUCUUCAGUGUACUUCUGUGAGCCUGACCCGUCUAGAGUUCAGCUCUGAUUGUGACUUUUUCUAGCUGAAAAGAUUUCAGGCACAGUGGAGAUAUUGACAUCAGAAUCAAGUCCAAGUAUUGGGCUUGCAUUUUUGGCCUUCUACAAUCCAGCCACAAGUUAUCUUUCCAGUGUUAGCUUCCAUUACAAGCUCCCCUUCCUGUGUUUCCGUACUCGGUUCCAACCUAAUGUCCAGAAAUUUAUCCACAAGAUUCCUUCUGUCUGACAUCCCUCUCCUGUACUGAUCUUCAAAUUCCUGACCCAUUCUUCAUAAAUGCUACCUUCCAAGCAUGUUUUCCCAUCCUCCAGCCAGAAGACAUUUCCUCUGUCUCUCUACAUGUUGUAUUGGAGUUGUUAAAGUUCCUCUCUUGUGUUAGUUGUAUGUAUUCAUGCCUGUAUUAACCAGAUGAAGGUGCAAUUCUGUGUUAAUAUAAGAGAAGUGUGGCCUUCCUUCUCAUAGGACUAGAAGUGAGAUAAUCCCUGUGUAAGAAAUCAGCCCCUACUUCUGUUCCCAGUAAUCUCUUCAAAGAAGAGGCUUGCAGGAUCUCAUUCCUUGAUGGGGGAUUGAACCUGUGUCAUGGAAGAAAAAGCGCUGAGUCCCAACUGUUAGACCACCAGGGAACUCCCUUUCACAAUAUGCUUGACCAUAAUAAUAUGCUUGACCAUUAAUAAGCCUUUGAGUUAUUUUCCUGCUUAGUCUUACUAUACAUAAGCCUGAAAAGAACAUCUUAAUCAAUGGGAACUUAAUUUUUUCAGUAGAGUCAGCUCCUAAUAAUGGAAAUGUUUAGAAAAAAGAUAUUUAUUUAUUGCUGAUUUUGAACAUUAUUACUAAAUUGCACUAAAAAAUUUACACCUAUUAAAAUUCCUAUCAAAAGGGUCAGAACUCACUGUGGCAUUAACAAUGGAUAUUACAACCCUUAAAAAGUGUGUCAGUCUGAUAGAUGAAAACUUAUAUGCGUUUUACAUUUCUUAAGUUGUGAAUCAGAUUGAGAAUCUUUUUGCACAUUGACCAUUUUGUUUCUAUAUCUGAAGAUCUGCCUAUUUAUGUUAAUUGAUCAUUUUUCUAUUAGUUCCCCCCCCCCCCACCUCCUUUGGACUUUUCCUUGCCAACUUGUACAAACAUUAUGUAAAUUAGAAAAUUAACUCUUUAUCAAAAUAGUUAAAACUCUUUUUCUUUCCCUUUACCAUUAAUCUUUUAGCUCUAUUUAUAUUUUUUGGCAUUUUCCUUUACAGUUUCUUAGUUUUGUGUCAUGUUGAGGAAGGCCUUUCACAUUACAAAAUUAAAGAAGUAUUUCCCCAUGC
Long non-coding RNA from Bubalus bubalis (water buffalo), 1341 nucleotides. RefSeq lists it as uncharacterized. Lineage: Eukaryota; Metazoa; Chordata; Mammalia; Artiodactyla; Bovidae. The transcript has 4 exons. The record is from RefSeq and is a predicted model, not a curated record.